This 277-nucleotide ribosomal RNA is filed under the name uncultured bacterium. RNAcentral describes it as "partial 16S ribosomal RNA". It matches the Rfam family "Bacterial small subunit ribosomal RNA", at positions 28 to 317 of the family's 1533-position model. The record is from RNAcentral.
GACGAACGCUGGCGGCGUGCCUAAUGCAUGCAAGUCGAACGCGCCCGCUUGCGCGGGUGGCGUGGCGAACGGCUGAGUAACACGUAGGUGACCGACCGUCCGGUGGGGGAUAACGCCGCGAAAGCGGUGCUAAUCCCGCAUUCGCUCCCCCGCCUGGGGGAGGAAAGCCGGCAGGCGCCGGACGCCGGGCCUGCGGCCCAUCAGGUGGUUGGUAGGGUAACGGCCUACCAAGCCGACGACGGGUAGCUGGUCUGUGAGGACAGACAGCCAGACUGGG